Molecule: ribosomal RNA, 459 nt
Filed under: uncultured bacterium
Lineage: Bacteria
Description: partial 16S ribosomal RNA
Rfam family: Bacterial small subunit ribosomal RNA
Source: RNAcentral
CUACGGGGGGCUGCAGUGAGGAAUAUUGCGCAAUGGACGAAAGUCUGACGCAGCCAUGCCGCGUGCAGGAUGACGGCGCUAUGCGUUGUAAACUGCUUUUAUAGGCCAAGAAACCUUCGGACGUGUCCGAAGCUGACGGUAGCAUAUGAAUAAGCACCGGCUAACUCCGUGCCAGCAGCCGCGGUAAUACGGAGGGUGCAAGCGUUAUCCGGAUUUAUUGGGUUUAAAGGGUCCGUAGGCGGAUCAUUAAGUCAGUGGUGAAAGCCGGCAGCUCAACUGUCGAACUGCCAUUGAUACUGGUGAGCUUGAAUACGGUUGAAGUUGGCGGAAUAGGUCAUGUAGCGGUGAAAUGCUUAGAUAGCACCUAGAACACCGCUUGCGAAGGCGGCCGACUAAGCCGUUAUUGACGCUGAGGAACGAAAGCGUGGGGAGCGACCAGGAUUAGAUACCCGAGUAGUC